ACACCGGCGGCCCGAGUGGUGAUCGUGAUUAUUGGGUCUAAAGGGUCCGUAGCCGGUUUGGUCAGUCCUCCGGGAAAUCUGACAGCUCAACUGUUAGGCUUUCGGAGGAUACUGCCAGACUUGGAACCGGGAGAGGUAAGAGGUACUACAGGGGUAGGAGUGAAAUCUUGUAAUCCCUGUGGGACCACCUGUGGCGAAGGCGUCUUACCAGAACGGGUUCGACGGUGAGUAACGAAAGCCAGGGGCGC
RNAcentral lists this ribosomal RNA (248 nucleotides) under uncultured bacterium. RNAcentral describes it as "partial 16S ribosomal RNA". It matches the Rfam family "Archaeal small subunit ribosomal RNA", at positions 473 to 720 of the family's 1478-position model. The record is from RNAcentral.